GAAACGCUGCAAAGGACUCAACCUAAAUGCUGCAAAAACUCCAGCAGAGAGCGGCGUUUAACUUGCAAGACUGGAAGAUUUCACACACAACAAGACUGCACUUCCCAUUCUUUAGUGUUGAUCGGUGUCUGCCUGUGUGGAGACGUUUACAGUCUGCAGACAAGGACCAGCCAAGGACCAACCAAGGACCAACCAAGGACCAGCCAAGGACCAACCAAGGACCGGCCAAGGACAGGCCAAGGACCUGCAGAGGCUACAUCAUGGAGGUCGUGUGAUGAUAACGAGCCAUCUUCAUUAAAAGUGGGCAAACUCCAGCUGCUGAUGAAAACCACGAGAUGUGACUGAAAGCUCCGGAAAAAAGCCAGUGGCGGUUCAGCGGGGAGAAGAUGAGA
Non-coding RNA from Plectropomus leopardus (leopard coralgrouper), 392 nucleotides. The record is from RefSeq and is a predicted model, not a curated record. NCBI's taxonomy places the organism in Eukaryota, Metazoa, Chordata, Actinopteri, Perciformes, Serranidae.